RNAcentral lists this long non-coding RNA (509 nucleotides) under Anser cygnoides (Swan goose). Its description in RNAcentral is "lncRNA (ENSACDG00005003983.1)". Lineage: Eukaryota; Metazoa; Chordata; Aves; Anseriformes; Anatidae. The record is from RNAcentral.
GGGAUAUGGCUAUUCUUAUGAAACUGUCUCCUUAGGAUAGAGGGGGAAAAAAGAUGGGCUGACUCAGAACUUGUCAUCAGUUUUAGUGUGUUCCAUUUUUAUCUCAAAGAGGAACUCUUGUUAAAUUGUAGGGUCAAAUAACCGGAAAACUGUGACUGCAAUUUGAAACACAAAAGGAGAAGCUGGAAGUCUGAAAAGAGAAAGAAAAAGACAGAGAGGUCUUAAAUUGAGGGAAAAAAAAUGCUAAAAAUUCACAGACAUCAUUCAAACAGCUAUUAACCUUCCAAAACAUUCACCUCGGAGGCUAAACUUCGCAGUACUUCAACUUCGAUUCUGAGAAAUGUCUCUAUUCCAGAAUGACACAUUAAGUGAGAGUGAAUUAAGUCCCCGUGCAACAAAUGUCAUGCUUCAAAUAAAAUUGGCACAUUAACUUGGAAGAGGAGAGAAAAGGACAGUGAAGGAAGGAAGCUGAGCAGAGAGAUGAAGCUAAGCAACAUCUGAAAGGUAAG